Molecule: long non-coding RNA, 2448 nt
Organism: Anguilla rostrata (American eel)
Lineage: Eukaryota; Metazoa; Chordata; Actinopteri; Anguilliformes; Anguillidae
Exons: 3
Source: RefSeq, a predicted model, not a curated record
GACUGUGUGUGAGAGGGAUACAGAGACACAGGGCUCAGACUGUGUGUGAGAUGGACACAGAGACACAGGGCUCAGACUGUGUGUGAGAUGGACACAGAGACACAGGGGUCAGACUGUGUGUGAGAUGGACACAGAGACACGGGUCAGACUGUGUGUGAGACAGAGACACAGGGACACAGGGGUCAGACUGUGUGUGAGACGGACACAGGGGUCAGACUGUGUGUGAGAACAGAGACACAGGGGUCAGACUGUGUGUGAGACAGGGACACAGAGACACAGGGGCCAGACUGUGUGUGAGACAGGGACACAGAGACACAGGGGUCAGACUGUGUGUGAGAGGGACAGAGAGACACAGGGGCCAGACUGUGUGUGAGAGGGACACAGAGACACAGGGGUCAGACUGUGUGUGAGACAGGGACACAGAGACACAGGGCUCAGACUGUGUGUGAGAUGGACACAGAGACACAGGGGUCAGACUGUGUGUGAGAGGGACACAGAGACACAGGGGCCAGACUGUGUGUGAGACAGGGACACAGAGACACAGCGGUCAGACUGUGUGUGAGAGGGACAGAGAGACACAGGGGCCAGACUGUGUGUGAGACAGGGACACAGAGACACAGGGGCCAGACUGUGUGUGAGACAGGGACACAGAGACACAGGGGUCAGACUGUGUGUGAGAGGGGGCAGCAGAGGGGUUUCCUCCUCGCUGUGCGUAUAGAGAGCCCUGGUGAGAGGCGUGGUCAGGCGCAGACGGACGUUAGCACAGGAGAGGAUAAAAGACAUGGCGGCUGUGAGGAAGGCCCUGGCGCUCUGCUCUACCGCUAACCUGCUCCAGCCCCCCCUCCGGUCAACAGCGUAAAUGUGCUGAAUAAUUUAGCUGCACUCAAGGGUCAGCGGAUGGACGUGUGUGUGUGUGUGUGUGUGUGUGUGUUUGAGUUUGUGUUUGUGCACAUUCCUGUGUGUACAGUGGUCUCUCUCUCUCUCUCUUUCUUUCUCUCUCGCUCUCUCACACUUUCUCUACUCCUCUGUGAGCCCCUGUAGGCGUUUAGAUUACUGGCUGACGUACUGCUCCGGUGUUACUAAAUUGUUCCAUGAUUUCAGCACAUUUACUUUAAUCACACUGCACUUUGUCUGAAUGUGUAACAGGCACAUAAUGACACAUAAACAUAGGCUCGGAUAUGGGUUGCAGCGAAGCAUAAUCGUCUCCUGAAAUCACUGUCCAAAAAACUACAGGUCCCAGAAGUCCGAGGGAGAGUACCACAUCUCUUCAUUGUCCUGUCUGCCUGCUGUAGAUCUGUGUUUACUGUGCCUGCCAGCGAGUGUGCGAUGGACAGGCUGAAAUAAUAGACGGCGGAUUUGAUUGAGGAGGACAAGGGUAUGAAUUGUCGGUGUUUCGGUGGUCUGGCGCUAAAUGAGCCGCUCGCAGAAGGGCUUUAUGGGUAGUGCUUCUUGAGGAAGUACUCCGAGCCUGCUUUAGUUUCUGCUUAGUGUCGUCCACGGUCGCCAGUAGCUUCCCUUUCUCCUCUGUCUGUUUGGAGUUUUAUGAAUUUUCCUUAGUAUGAAUGCUUUGGAAACAGCUGUGAAGCCUAGCAAGCAUUUGUCAUCUUUGGCUUACUAAUAGAUGUGAUUUUGUCUUUCUUUCUUUGCAAACACAGUAUGGAAAGUUAAUUUAGGUGAUUUUUGAAGUCAUGAAAAGGAAAGGCUAACUCUUCUGUUGAACUGUUAUGGCUGAAUGUUAAUUCAGGCCAGGCUUGCGUCUGUGUUAAUAGUUGUACGCAAUGUCGUGUUUUGUUGGUGUAAUUACCAGUGAGCGAUGGCCGCCUCUGGGUUUUUGUUUUUGGGUGGUUAAUCCACCCCACCGUGCGUGUAUGCCCAGGAGCACAGGAGAAUCUCCUGCUACCGAUCGGCGGGAGGCCAAUCCCAGCAUGCUUGGCGGUGCCACCCACUCAGCGCUGUGCAGAAGCUCCUCAGAGCCUCGCGGCCUACGCGGGAUGCCUGGCAGCUCUGUCUAGCUCCUGCUGUGCCCACUCUGAGAGGGUUCUGUGUGGAACAGAGAGUUCUGCAUGUGGUACAGAGGGUUAUGUGUGUAGUACAGAGAGGGUUCUGUGUGUGGAACAGAGAGUUCUGUGUGUGGUACAGAGGAUUCUGUGUGUGGAACAGAGGGUUCUGUGUGUAGUACAGAAAGUCUUCUGUGUGUAGUACAGAGAGUUCUUUGUGUGGUACAGAGGGUUCUGUGUGUAGUACAGAGAGUUCUGUGUGUGGAACAGUGGAUUAAGUCUAUAGUACAGAGAGGGUUCUGUGUGUGGAACUGUUUGUAGUACCAGAGGGUUCUGUGUGUGGUACAGAGGGUGAUGCAGGGGGGAUUAGUGUACAGUGAGUUGGCUGGCCCAGGUGAUGCAGGGGGGAUUAGUGUACAGUGAGAUAGCUGGCCCGGUUGAUGCAGAGGGG